Molecule: ribosomal RNA, 453 nt
Filed under: uncultured organism
Description: partial 16S ribosomal RNA
Rfam family: Bacterial small subunit ribosomal RNA
Source: RNAcentral
UACACUCCUACGGGAGGCAGCAGUGGGGAAUCUUGCGCAAUGGGCGAAAGCCUGACGCAGCCAUGCCGCGUGAAUGAUGAAGGUCUUAGGAUUGUAAAAUUCUUUCACCGGGGACGAUAAUGACGGUACCCGGAGAAGAAGCCCCGGCUAACUUCGUGCCAGCAGCCGCGGUAAUACGAAGGGGGCUAGCGUUGCUCGGAAUUACUGGGCGUAAAGGGAGCGUAGGCGGACAUUUAAGUCAGGGGUGAAAUCCCGGGGCUCAACCUCGGAAUUGCCUUUUAUACUGGGUGUCUUGAGUAUGAGAGAGGGGUGUGGAACUCCGAGUGUAGAGGUGAAAUUCGUAGAUAUUCGGAAGAACACCAGUGGCGAAGGCGACACACUGGCUCAUUACUGACGCUGAGGCUCGAAAGCGUGGGGAGCAAACAGGAUUAGAUACCCGUGUAGUCCCAUGAU